Molecule: transfer RNA, 71 nt
Organism: Phytophthora infestans T30-4
Lineage: Eukaryota; Oomycota; Peronosporomycetes; Peronosporales; Peronosporaceae
Rfam family: tRNA
About the family: Transfer RNA (tRNA) molecules are approximately 80 nucleotides in length. Their secondary structure includes four short double-helical elements and three loops (D, anti-codon, and T loops).
Source: Rfam
CGCCCUUUAUCUCAGUGGUCGAGUGUUGGCUUUGGAAGCCACAGGUCGGUUGUUCGAUUCCACCGGGACGC